RNAcentral lists this ribosomal RNA (253 nucleotides) under uncultured bacterium. RNAcentral describes it as "partial 16S ribosomal RNA". It matches the Rfam family "Bacterial small subunit ribosomal RNA", at positions 524 to 776 of the family's 1533-position model. The record is from RNAcentral.
UACAGAGGUCUCAAGCGUUGUUCGGAUUCAUUGGGCGUAAAGGGUGUGUAGGUGGCGCCGUAAGUCGGGUGUGAAAUUUCGGAGCUUAACUCCGAAACUGCAUUCGAUACUGCGGUGCUUGAGGACUGGAGAGGAGACUGGAAUUCAUGGUGUAGCAGUGAAAUGCGUAGAGAUCAUGAGGAACACCGAUGGCGAAGGCAGGUCUCUGGGCCACUACUGACGCUGAGAAGCGAAAGCAUGGGGAGCGAACAGG